This 380-nucleotide ribosomal RNA is filed under the name Rhipicephalus microplus (southern cattle tick). Its description in RNAcentral is "partial large subunit ribosomal RNA". The stretch from base 249 to 380 matches the Rfam family "Archaeal large subunit ribosomal RNA", at positions 2542 to 2674 of the family's 2987-position model. The record is from RNAcentral. Lineage: Eukaryota; Metazoa; Arthropoda; Arachnida; Ixodida; Ixodidae.
UUUAAUUGAAUGCUAAAAGAAUGGAAUAUCAAAGAAUAACUUUCUUAAAAUUAAAAAUUGAAAUUUUUUUAAUUUGUGUAAAAACAAUUAUAUAAAUUAAAGACAAGAAGACCCUAAGAAUUUUUAAAAUUUAAAUUAACACAUUUUUGUUUUAAUUAAAUUUUAACUGGGGCGGUUAAAAAAUAUUAAAAACUUUUUAAUUUUGAAAAUGACCCAUUAUUAAUGAAAAUAUGAUAAAAUACUCUAGGGAUAACAGCGUUAUAUUUUUUGAUAGAUCAUAUUGACAAAAAAGUUUGCGACCUCGAUGUUGGAUUAGGAUACUUUUUUAAUGAAGAUAUUAAAAUAAGAAGUUUGUUCAACUUUUAAAUUCCUACUUGAUC